UUUUUAGUUAAUUACAUCUAGGUUCGUACAACCUUGUUUAUCUCAUAUCUUCUUCGUUUUAACUCCGAUUUCAGCGAUUCUCAAGUUCACGCGAUCCUCUCUGCAUGAACGUUAGUUCUAGAAGUUUGUUUUAAGUCUUUUAAACUGUUUGGUGUAUUGUUUCUUAUUUAUUGUUUAUUUUUCUUGUGUGAUCGUGUAGAUGCCGUGCCAUUCGAGGAAGGCUAGGAGCAGCAGUUAGAAGAAGAGUUUCCGUAGUUUGUCGAGGAAGGCAAGUGGCUUCCCC
RNAcentral lists this long non-coding RNA (283 nucleotides) under Setaria viridis. RNAcentral describes it as "long non-coding RNA (SVIR_LNC001615)". Lineage: Eukaryota; Viridiplantae; Streptophyta; Magnoliopsida; Poales; Poaceae. The record is from RNAcentral.